Molecule: long non-coding RNA, 398 nt
Filed under: Callithrix jacchus (white-tufted-ear marmoset)
Lineage: Eukaryota; Metazoa; Chordata; Mammalia; Primates; Cebidae
Description: lncRNA (ENSCJAG00000081870.1)
Source: RNAcentral
GCUACAUGAGGAACAAUGUGUCUUCCAUGCCAAAAUGCAGCAUUCACCAGUCCCUUACCAGACACCAAAAUGAGAAUUCACUCAUCUGUCCUGAAGUCCAAAUAAUUGUAUUGCCAUCCGCUCCAAGUGUGGAUGUGUGGCGGGCCUGGGAAGCCACAGAGGAGAACAUUGUUCUUACCCUGCCAUUCAGGUCAUAUUUUCCAGCCAGACUGGGACCAGUGAAGGAAUUAAUGGAUCCGCUGAGCAAAAUUCCCCAAGCUAAUGCCUUCAUAAAUUUUCAUCUAGUCCAUUCAUGGGCUUCAACUGAGGAAGCAACCCUGGUCUAAUCAAUUUCGCUCAGUGUGUAAGUGUCUUGUAGAAUAAAGGAUGGUAAGCCAAACCCAAUAAAUGGCUUCUUG